UACGGAGGAUCCGAGCGUUAUCCGGAUUUAUUGGGUUUAAAGGGUGCGUAGGCGGAUAUGUAAGUCAGCGGUGAAACUCACAGGCUCAACCUGUGCCGUGCCGUUGAAACUGUGUAUCUGGAAUGCGGAUGCUGUGGGAGGAAUGUGUAGUGUAGCGGUGAAAUGCAUAGAUAUUACACAGAACACCGAUUGCGAAGGCAUCUCACAAAGCCGUUAUUGACGCUGAGGCACGAAAGUGUGGGGAUCAAACA
RNAcentral lists this ribosomal RNA (251 nucleotides) under uncultured prokaryote. Its description in RNAcentral is "partial 16S ribosomal RNA". It matches the Rfam family "Bacterial small subunit ribosomal RNA", at positions 524 to 774 of the family's 1533-position model. The record is from RNAcentral.